UCCAGCCCUCCCAGCAUCUCCGGGGCCUCCUCCGGCCCCGCUCCGACAGCUCCGUGUCCUUCUUGUGCUGAGGGCUCCCAGAGCUGGACGCAGGGCUCCAGGUGGGGUCUCACAGAGCAGAGCAGAGGGGCAGAAUCCCCCCCUCGCCCCCCUGCCCACGCUUCUUUUGAGGCAGACCAGGCUGCGGGGGGUUCUGGGCUGCCAGCGCACGUUGCUGUUGAGCUUCUCGUCCAGCAGCGCCCCCGGGUCCUUCUCCUCAGGGCUGCUCUCCAGCUAUUCUCCGCCCAACCUGUGUUUGUGCUGGGAUUGCUGUGACCCAGGUGCAGGACCUUGCACUUGGCCUGGUUGAACCUCGUGAGGUUGGCACGGACCCACCUCUCCAGCCUGCCCAGGUCCCUCUGGAUGGCAUCCCUUCCCUGCGGCGUGUCGACCGUGCCACACAGCUUGGUGUCGUCGGCAAACUUGCUGAGGGUGCACUCGAUCCCACUGUCCAUGUCUCCGACAAAGAUGUUAAACAACGCUGGUCCCAGUACCGACCUCUGAGGAACGCCACUCGCUCCUGGUUUCCACUUGGGACAUUGAGCUGUUGACCGCAGGCCUUUGAGCGCAGCCAUCCAGCCAGUUCCUUAUCCACCCAGUGGUCUGUCCAUCAAAUCCGUGCCUUUCCAGUUCAGAGACCGGGAUGUCGUGCGGGACAGUGUCAAACGCUUUGCAGAAGCCCAGGUAGAUGACUUCUGCACGGAGAAAGGCUGGUAUGUGUCCCGUGGGGGUGAGCAUCUGGGAGGCGGAUCUCAUGAGGGACGUGGGGUGGCAGCUCUCUGUCUGCGGGAGAAGGGGAGCGUGGAGAGAACAUGGGGCGUGAGGAGACACGGCAAAAGGAGAGAGGAAGAAACGCACCGAGAGCGUGGGAGGAGACCACAGAAGAGGAUGGUGGAAACGGGGUGGACCUGGCAAAGGAGGACGGGGAUGAGGGGAGACGAAGGACUCGGGGAAGUGCCCAGUGAAGGGGGCAUGGGGGCAGAAAUGGAAGCGGUGGGCUGGUGGGCAGCAGAGCCCACAAGUGCCCCUUUUUCUUUGACCACAGCCUUUGCCACGUGGGGUUGGUGGUUUUUUUUAGGUUGGUGCGGUUUGGGGUGGUUUGUUGGUAUUGUCAGUGUGGCUGAGUCAUGAGUGAGUGACACCAGCCUGGUCCACCCCUGCCCCCUUCCCACUGGAGGCUGGACUCCUUCCCUGCUCCGUUCCCAGGGAUGGUUCAGCUGGGAGAAGCCGUUCCCCUGUUGUCCCUCUCCACAGCUGGGGAAAAUACGCUGCUAAAUCCCCCUCAGUACAUCCCUUCAUUUUCAUAUUGCGUGCGUACUUCCUCAUUUCAAUUAAUUAUUAUGGAGUAGGAUAAUUAGAAGCUUCUGGUCAUUGUCUCCGGAUGUUUUGCCGGUGUCUUGCAGCAGAGCUGUUUCUUGCCUUCCUGAGGGAGAUGCCGUAUUUUUUAUAUUUCUGGUAAUCUUUGCGGAGCGGCUGCGGUUCGUGUCGCGGAUCUUAACAGAAGGGCAGAGCUGACGCCGCUGAACUUACCCUGACAGCUUCACCUUGUUCCAAGCAUCCAGAAGACCUCGCGAAAUGGUGUUGCCUUGGGCUGGAUCUUGUUCCUUUCAGUUUGCUUACGAGGGCAGCCCGUGUGGCAGCGACAGAGACCUCACUGAAGCGGUGAUUUAUCACAGCCGCGUCUUCCCUCUCGAUUUCUUGCCAGAGGAGAAAUUAGACCGGGAGUUUUGGCCCACGUGUCCAAGAGGGCACACGAAGCUGUCUGAGGGAGUUACACGCGUGUCAGAAACUGCUCAAAAAGACAUUUCUCUCCGAGCGCGCCUGUUUUAUCAGCACGCCUGGCCUUCGCAGAGCUGCCCACGUCUCGUACCGGUGCAGGAGGGUGCUUCUUGGUUUCCUGAAGGCAGCAAAAUAUUCUCCUUUCUUCACGUCUCUUCUGAGGGCGCAGGGAAAGGAGCACAGCCCACCGCAACCUCCCACUGCCCUUUGCUCCUUGAAGACCGAAGCCCCAGCCAGGCACCCUGGGCAGACAGAAGUCUCCUCCGAGCGAGCGUGGUGGUUUGAAGCACCAAGCCCAGAGUCUACGCCUCUCAGAGCCGCCCACGGUGGCGCGGCGCAGCAGAGGGCCCAAAGGGCCACGCGCAACCGCAAGAUCUGGUGAGGACCCAAGAACUGGAGACGGACAAAGAACUUGGAUCCGUCUGCUAACAUGAAGUCAUCUCAUCGCCUGAUUGCAAAGCCAGGGAGCUGGGAGAGCAUUUGAAUGGCUGCUGCUGCUGCCGCAGUGAUAAAUUAGAUAGCUUUGAGAGCACUUUAGAGCUGGGCGGAAAAUUCAGUUGCUCUCCUGCCAAUUUCCUCCUGUAAGUGGAAUUAACGCUUGCUUUCGCUGCACUCUCCAGCCACGAGCAAGCGUCCCUUGUGCACCGUCUCCGAGGGAUUUUGCUCCCUGGGAACUGUGCGUAUCUGGACCAGCGGAAAGCAGGCGGAGGAGAGCCCUCGCUGCACGCACAGCGCCGAGGGGAGCACCGCAGGAACAGGAGCCCAUUUUGGCCCUCGCGCCUCAGACAACUUGGACCUGGGUCUGAAAAGCGAGGUUUGACACCACCUGCGAGGCAGCGGGUCGCGUUUGGUUUUUUUUUCCUAGGAGGUGGGUGAAGAGAAGCUGCCCGGGAAGGAGGUUCGGAAAGUUGAAGGGGAGAUGAGGCGUUGGAAGCAGCAGCCGCGCUCCAUCAGGAGAGAGGUAAGUGAGCGUUCCCCACCACGAUGGGAUUUUUAAAGCCCAAGCUGACACUUCAUGGUAAAAAUAAACCGACCACCCGAGCUCUGCCUCCAGAUGCCACAAGAUCUGGACAUGAUGAUCUUUAAGGUCCCUUCUAACCCGAACCGUUCUUCUGUGAUUCGAUUUGCUGGCUCGCAACGUGCAGGAGACCUGGUGUUGAAAAGAGGCCUCCAGCUUUGACAUCGAUGAAGCAGAGCGGCAGGAGAGCCGCCAGGGAGGCAGCGCCCACGCCAGGCAGUCCCUGACACCCUCCCUCCUCUCCCAUGCCACCCACGGGACGCUCAGGCCAGGUUUUAGAAUCAUAGAAUCUGAAUUUUGUGCCUGAAAUGAUGAAGGAGGCAGAACGAGAGAAGGGGGACAGGUCAAAAUAGCUGGGGUUCCCAGGCGUGUUUUGCAAGGAGUGAGGAGACCGUUGGCUUGAGCUGGAGCACAAGAAACACAUCCCCGUCCCGAGACUGGAAAAAGAAAGCGCAGGAAGGGACACAGAGCUGCUGAAGUAUGAGGCGCCGGUGUAGAUUUAGGAAGCUGGGUGCGCGAGUGCACGGCCUGUCCCUCUGUCCGGGGGAUGUGCCGUUCCUUGCAAGAUGCAAGAACAGAAGUUCCCAGAUGAAUACGGGAUGUAUGGGAAAUUGUUUUAAGAAUUAACCUUGGCAGCUCUCAGUCGGUUUAAAUCAACGCUUUUUUUUUCUUUCAAAUGUUUCACGAAGCUGGACCAGCCCAAGUGCGGGUGGUCGUUUCUGGUAGGGUCCGAGUGACGGAGCUGAGUGGGGGAACACGGGCUGGAGAACAGGAGAACCCCCCUUUUUUUGGCAGAGGAUUCCUACCUCGCGCUUGGUAAAGCUUUCGGGAAGAAUCCUGCUCGCCUUCAGUACUGCAGGCUCCGGAGAUGUUCUGUGAGCGGCUGGAACACGUCCUUGUUUUCCUGGAAUAAACGAGUUUCCGUUCUCGGCUUGUCCCUGCGAGCAGCGUCAGCCUCGUCUCUGAAAAACGUGAGGUGCAUCUGCGGCACGUGGUGGCACAGGCUGGGCUUCUCUCCAUCCAG
Molecule: long non-coding RNA, 3860 nt
Organism: Chroicocephalus ridibundus (black-headed gull)
Lineage: Eukaryota; Metazoa; Chordata; Aves; Charadriiformes; Laridae
Exons: 3
Source: RefSeq, a predicted model, not a curated record